AGAGGCUGUAACAUUAGAUGGGAACCAGAUAAGGAAAACACAAGUCAUCUUCAAAAGUGGAGCCUUCAUCCUAACAUGAUGAAGAGUCAUUGAAGACCACAUUUUCCUUCAACAAAGAGGCCCUUCACACAAGCUGCUGCUUCUCUCUGGAAGAUCAUCCCUAUGACUCUUAACUGGUUAGUUCCUAUUCGUCACUGAAGACUCCACCCAAAUACGGCUUGGGAGAGCGCCUCUCUGCUAUGCCAGAGGUCCACUCCUGUCAAACAACCCAGUAACAUUUAAAACAAUUUCUAAUUGUCUGUG
Molecule: non-coding RNA, 303 nt
Organism: Vicugna pacos (alpaca)
Lineage: Eukaryota; Metazoa; Chordata; Mammalia; Artiodactyla; Camelidae
Source: RefSeq, a predicted model, not a curated record